AGAGUUUGAUCAUGGCUCAGAACGUACGCUGGCGGCACGCCUAACACAUGCAAGUCGAACGAAGUAGCAAUACUUAGUGGCAGACGGGUGAGUAACAUGUGGGUAUCUGCCCUUUGGCCUGGAAUAACACGAGGAAACUUGUGCUAAUACCGGAUAAGCCCUUACGGGGAAAGUUUUAAUGCCAAAAGAUGAGCCCGCACUUGAUUAGCUAGUUGGUAAGGUAAUGGCUUACCAAGGCAACGAUCAAUAGCUGUUCUUAGAGGAAGACCAGCCACAUUGGGACUGAGACACGGCCCAAACUCCUACGGGAGGCAGCAGUGGGGAAUCUUGCACAAUGGAGGAAACUCUGAUGCAGCGAUGCCGCGUGAGUGAAGAAGGCCCUUGGGUUGUAAAGCUCUUUCGUCGGGGAAGAAAAUGACUGUACCCGAAUAAGAAGGUCCGGCUAACUUCGUGCCAGCAGCCGCGGUAAUACGAAGGGACCUAGCGUAGUUCGGAAUUACUGGGCUUAAAGAGUUCGUAGGUGGUUGAAAAAGUUAGUGGUGAAAUCCCAGAGCUUAACUCUGGAACUGCCAUUAAAACUUUUCAGCUAGAGUAUGAUAGAGGAAAGCAGAAUUUCUAGUGUAGAGGUGAAAUUCGUAGAUAUUAGAAAGAAUACCAAUUGCGAAGGCAGCUUUCUGGAUCAUUACUGACACUGAGGAACGAAAGCAUGGGUAGCGAAGAGGAUUAGAUACCCUCGUAGUCCAUGCCGUAAACGAUGUGUGUUAGACGUUGGAAAUUUAUUUUCAGUGUCGCAGCGAAAGCGAUAAACACACCGCCUGGGGAGUACGACCGCAAGGUUAAAACUCAAAUGAAUUGACGGGGACCCGCACAAGUAGUGGAGCAUGUGGUUUAAUUCGAAGAUACGCGCAGAACCUUACCAACACUUGACAUGUUCGUCGCGACUCUAAGAGAUUAGAGUUUUCGGUUCGGCCGGACGAAACACAGGUGCUGCAUGGCUGUCGUCAGCUCGUGUCGUGAGAUGUUGGGUUAAGUCCCGCAACGAGCGCAACCCUCACUUUUAGUUGCCAUCAUUAAGUUGGGCACUCUGAAAGAACUGCCAGUGAUAAGCUGGAGGAAGGUGGGGAUGACGUCAAGUCCUCAUGGCCCUUACGUGUUGGGCUACACACGUGCUACAAUGGUAUCUACAACAGGAAGCAAGACUGCGAAGUUAAGCAAAUCCCUAAAAGAUACCUCAGUUCGGAUUGCACUCUGCAACUCGAGUGCAUGAAGCUGGAAUUACUAGUAAUCGUGGAUCAGCGUGCCACGGUGAAUGCGUUCCCGGGUCUUGUACACACCGCCCGUCACACCAUGGGAGUUGGUUCUACCUUAAGGCAAGGUUUCAAACCCUUGACCACGGUAUAGUCAGCGACUGGGGUGAAGUCGUAACAAGGUAGCCGUA
RNAcentral lists this ribosomal RNA (1438 nucleotides) under uncultured bacterium. RNAcentral describes it as "bacterial SSU rRNA". It matches the Rfam family "Bacterial small subunit ribosomal RNA". The record is from RNAcentral.